CGUAUAACAAUCGAAACCGCAUGGUUUUGAUUUGAAAGGCGCUUUCGGGUGUCGCUGAUGGAUGGACCCGCGGUGCAUUAGCUAGUUGGUGAGGUAACGGCUCACCAAGGCCACGAUGCAUAGCCGACCUGAGAGGGUGAUCGGCCACAUUGGGACUGAGACACGGCCCAAACUCCUACGGGAGGCAGCAGUAGGGAAUCUUCGGCAAUGGACGAAAGUCUGACCGAGCAACGCCGCGUGAGUGAAGAAGGUUUUCGGAUCGUAAAACUCUGUUGUUAGAGAAGAACAAGGAUGAGAGUAACUGUUCAUCCCUUGACGGUAUCUAACCAGAAAGCCACGGCUAACUACGUGCCAGCAGCCGCGGUAAUACGUAGGUGGCAAGCGUUGUCCGGAUUUAUUGGGCGUAAAGCGAGCGCAGGCGGUUUCUUAAGUCUGAUGUGAAAGCCCCCGGCUCAACCGGGGAGGGUCAUUGGAAACUGGGAGACUUGAGUGCAGAAGAGGAGAGUGGAAUUCCAUGUGUAGCGGUGAAAUGCGUAGAUAUAUGGAGGAACACCAGUGGCGAAGGCGGCUCUCUGGUCUGUAACUGACGCUGAGGCUCGAAAGCGUGGGGAGCAAACAGGAUUAGAUACCCUGGUAGUCCACGCCGUAAACGAUGAGUGCUAAGUGUUGGAGGGUUUCCGCCCUUCAGUGCUGCAGCUAACGCAUUAAGCACUCCGCCUGGGGAGUACGACCGCAAGGUUGAAACUCAAAGGAAUUGACGGGGGCCCGCACAAGCGGUGGAGCAUGUGGUUUAAUUCGAAGCAACGCGAAGAACCUUACCAGGUCUUGACAUCCUUUGACCACUCUAGAGAUAGAGCUUCCCCUUCGGGGGCAAAGUGACAGGUGGUGCAUGGUUGUCGUCAGCUCGUGUCGUGAGAUGUUGGGUUAAGUCCCGCAACGAGCGCAACCCUUAUUGUUAGUUGCCAUCAUUCAGUUGGGCACUCUAGCAAGACUGCCGGUGACAAACCGGAGGAAGGUGGGGAUGACGUCAAAUCAUCAUGCCCCUUAUGACCUGGGCUACACACGUGCUACAAUGGGAAGUACAACGAGUUGCGAAGUCGCGAGGCUAAGCUAAUCUCUUAAAGCUUCUCUCAGUUCGGAUUGCAGGCUGCAACUCGCCUGCAUGAAGCCGGAAUCGCUAGUAAUCGCGGAUCAGCACGCCGCGGUGAAUACGUUCCCGGGCCUUGUACACACCGCCCGUCACACCACGAGAGUUUGUAACACCC
This 1265-nucleotide ribosomal RNA is filed under the name Enterococcus faecium. RNAcentral describes it as "bacterial SSU rRNA". It matches the Rfam family "Bacterial small subunit ribosomal RNA", at positions 170 to 1422 of the family's 1533-position model. Lineage: Bacteria; Bacillati; Bacillota; Bacilli; Lactobacillales; Enterococcaceae. The record is from RNAcentral.